This 1004-nucleotide long non-coding RNA is filed under the name Cricetulus griseus (Chinese hamster). RNAcentral's name for it is "lncRNA (ENSCGRG00015035453.1)". The record is from RNAcentral. Lineage: Eukaryota; Metazoa; Chordata; Mammalia; Rodentia; Cricetidae.
UUUAAGAACAGCCCAUUGUGUUAAAAGAAUAGCGGCUUCCAGUUUCAAUCUACCCCUUCCUUCCCCCUUAGCUUCCUGAUAAGAGAACCCAGGCUUGCACAAAUAGAGGUUAGCAAACAAACUUACACAAAUAGCUAGUUUAUAACAGGCUUACUAAAGUAACUGUUAGCAAAGAGGCUCUUGGAAGAUAGCUGAUAGCAAAGAAGGUCCUUUGAGGUUCGGGUUCACAUUUCAGCCUUGCUGGCUCGGGCACCUGGCAGCCGCCCAUGGUAAGUGAGGGACUGCUGUCUCCAGACAGGAAGAAGUGGCUAGCCAUGGAUGCAGUGACCUAUAAUGAUAUGCAUGUUAACUUCACUUGGGAAGAGUGCGCUUUGCUGGAUUCUUCCCAGAAGAAUCUCUACAAAGAUGUGAUGCUAGAGACCUAAAAGCAUGUACCUCACUACUAUAGGCAUGAAAGAAAUCAUCCUGGAGAGAAACCUUCUGAAUAUACACAAUGUAUUAAAGGCUUUGCAGAUCACUUUCAUCUUCAAUAGCAUAAAAGAAUUCGUACUGGAGAGAAACCUUCUGACAGUAUUCAAUAUGAUGAAGCCUUUGCAUGUCACAAGAAUCCCCAAACUCAUCAAAGAACACAUACUAGAGAGAAACCCUAUGUGGUAAUCAAUGUGGUAAAACCUUUGUAUGUCAAAGUAGUCUCCAUAUACAUAAAAGUAUUUUCAUGUAUCAGUAAUCUUUGAAAACAUAAGAAAAUACUGCAGAGAAACCCUCUAAAUGUAUAAAGAUGAUCAAAGUUUUGCAAAUCAUGGUAGUCUUUAUACAAGAGUAAAACUUUUAGUGUGUAAUUAGUACAUUAAAGCCAUUGUAUGUAAUAGACUUUGAAGAUCCAAUAAAACUCAUACCAAAGAGUAUCUGAAUAUAAAUCAUUUGAUAAGAUCUUUAGCUAAUACACAUUCAGUUACACAGGACUAUUCUGUAGAAAAAAUGACAAGUGUCAAAAUCUGUUCUAG